RNAcentral lists this ribosomal RNA (347 nucleotides) under uncultured Leptolinea sp. RNAcentral describes it as "bacterial SSU rRNA". It matches the Rfam family "Bacterial small subunit ribosomal RNA", at positions 1023 to 1376 of the family's 1533-position model. Lineage: Bacteria; Bacillati; Chloroflexota; Anaerolineae; Anaerolineales; Anaerolineaceae. The record is from RNAcentral.
CGGGAGCUUGUACAGGUGCUGCAUGGCUGUCGUCAGCUCGUGUCGUGAGAUGCUCGGUUAAGUCCGCUAACGAGCGCAACCCUCGCUGUGUGUUACAAGUGUCACACGGUACUGCCGGUCUUAAGCCGGAGGAAGGUGGGAUGACGUCAAGUCAGGCAUGGCCUUUAUGUCCUGGGCUACACACACGCUACAAUGGCCAACACAAUAGGUUGCUAAGCCGCGAGGUGGAGCCAAUCCUCAAAGUUGGUCUACAGUUCAGAUUGCAGGCUGCAACCCGCCUGCAUGAAGAUGGAGUUGCUAGUAACCGCAGGUCAGCUAUACUGCGGUGAAUACGUUCCCGACGGCUU